RNAcentral lists this ribosomal RNA (212 nucleotides) under uncultured prokaryote. Its description in RNAcentral is "partial 16S ribosomal RNA". It matches the Rfam family "Bacterial small subunit ribosomal RNA", at positions 524 to 735 of the family's 1533-position model. The record is from RNAcentral.
UACGGAGGGUGCAAGCGUUAUCCGGAUUCACUGGGUUUGAAGGGUGCGUAGGUGGUCUGUUAAGUCAGCGGUGAAAGCCUGGAGCUCAACUCCAGAAUUGCCAUUGAUACUGACGGACUUGAAUCAAGUUGAGGUGGAUGGAAUAUUACACGUAGCGGUGAAAUGCUUAGAUAUGUAAUAGAACACCAAUUGCGAAGGCAGUUCACUAAGCU